ACAAAAGCUAGCCCAACUAACCCCAAACUUAAGUAUUACAGACACAUAAAAUAAAACAUUUAGUUAAACAAUNAAAAGUAUAGGAGAUAGAAAUUUUAUAUUGGAGCGAUAGAGAUAGUACCGUAAGGGAAUGAUGAAAGACAUCUUAACAGUAUUAAACAGCAAAGAUUACCCCUUCUACCUUUUGCAUAAUGAACUAGCCAGAAACAACUUAACAAAGAGAACUUAAGCUAAGCUCCCCGAAACCAGACGAGCUACCCAUAAACAAUCUAAAAGGAUCAACUCAUCUAUGUAGCAAAAUAGUGAGAAGAUUUGUGGGUAGAGGUGAAAAGCCUAACGAGCCUGGUGAUAGCUGGUUACCCACAAACAGAAUUUUAGUUCAACUUUAAAUUUACCUAAAAAAAANUAAAAUUUUAAUGUAAAUUUAAAAUAUAGUCUAAGAAGGUACAGCUUCUUAGAAUCAGGAUACAACCUUUAUUAGAGAGUAUAUACUAAUAUCACCAUAGUUGGCUUAAAAGCAGCCACCAAUUGAGAAAGCGUUCCAGCUCAACAAACAAUAUAACUUAAUCCCAACCAUACUACAUCAACUCCUAAUUAUACCCCCNUGGGUCAUUCUAUUUAAGUAUAGAAGCAAUAAUGCUAGUAUGAGUAACAAGAACCAUUUUCUCCCCGCAUAAGCUUAUAUCAGGAACGGAUAGACCACUGAUAGUUAACAAUCUGAUAAUAUCAACCCAAAAANUGAAAUACUUAUCCACCCCAUUGUUAACCCAACACAGGUAUGCAUUCAAGGAAAGAUUAAAAGGAGUAAAAGGAACUCGGCAAACACAAACCCCGCCUGUUUACCAAAAACAUCACCUCCAGCAUUUCUAGUAUUGGAGGCACUGCCUGCCCGGUGACACUUGUUUAACGGCCGCGGUAUCCUGACCGUGCAAAGGUAGCAUAAUCAUUUGUUCUCUAAAUAGGGACUUGUAUGAAUGGCCACACGAGGGUUUAACUGUCUCUUACUCCCAAUCAGUGAAAUUGACCUUCCCGUGAAGAGGCGGGAAUACCACAAUAAGACGAGAAGACCCUAUGGAGCUUUAAUUAACUAACCCAAACUUAUGGAUACUAGAUACCUACAAGGCAUAACAUAACACCAUUAUUAUGGGUUAGCAAUUUAGGUUGGGGUGACCUCGGAAUAUAAAAAAACUCCCGAGUGAUUAAAAUUUAGACCCACAAGUCAAAAUACAACAUCACUUAUUGAUCCAAUAAUUUUUGAUCAACGGAACAAGUUACCCUAGGGAUAACAGCGCAAUCCUAUUCAAGAGUCCAUAUCGACAAUAGGGUUUACGACCUCGAUGUUGGAUCAGGACAUCCUAAUGGUGCAGCAGCUAUUAAGGGUUCGUUUGUUCAACGAUUAAAGUCCUACGUGAUCUGAGUUCAGACCGGAGUAAUCCAGGUCGGUUUCUAUCUAUUAUACAACCUCCCCCAGUACGAAAGGACAAGGGAUGUAAGGCCUACCUCACAGAGGCGCCUUAAAACUAAUAGAUGAAGUCAACUCAAUCUAACCAGUUUAUCUCCUCAUAAGCCCGAGAAAAGGGGCUUU
Molecule: ribosomal RNA, 1585 nt
Filed under: Canis lupus (wolf)
Lineage: Eukaryota; Metazoa; Chordata; Mammalia; Carnivora; Canidae
Description: 16S ribosomal RNA
Rfam family: Bacterial large subunit ribosomal RNA
Source: RNAcentral